This 253-nucleotide ribosomal RNA is filed under the name uncultured bacterium. RNAcentral describes it as "partial 16S ribosomal RNA". It matches the Rfam family "Bacterial small subunit ribosomal RNA", at positions 524 to 776 of the family's 1533-position model. The record is from RNAcentral.
UACGUAGGGGGCAAGCGUUGUCCGGAAUUAUUGGGCGUAAAGCGCGUGUAGGCGGCUCGGUAAGUCUGCUGUGAAAGUCCAGGGCUCAACCCUGGAAUGCCGGUGGAAACUGUCGGGCUAGAGUCCGGAAGAGGCGAGUGGAAUUCCUGGUGUAGCGGUGAAAUGCGCAGAUAUCAGGAGGAACACCAAUGGCGAAGGCAGCUCGCUGGGACGGUACUGACGCUGAGACGCGAAAGCGUGUGGAGCAAACAGG